GCUCACUUUGUCAGAGCCUAUACCAAAAUUGGAACAAUACAAAGAAGAUUAGCAUGACUUCUCAGCCAGGAUGACAUGCAAAUUCGUGAAGCUUUGCAUAUUAUA
Molecule: small nuclear RNA, 105 nt
Organism: Perognathus longimembris pacificus (Pacific pocket mouse)
Lineage: Eukaryota; Metazoa; Chordata; Mammalia; Rodentia; Heteromyidae
Source: RefSeq, a predicted model, not a curated record